CGGGGAUUAGCUCAGUUGGCUAGAGCGCACGGUUCGGGACCGUGAGGUCGGCGGUUCAAGUCCGCCAUCCCCGACCA
RNAcentral lists this transfer RNA (77 nucleotides) under bacterium. Its description in RNAcentral is "tRNA-Pro". It matches the Rfam family "tRNA". From Rfam's summary of the family: Transfer RNA (tRNA) molecules are approximately 80 nucleotides in length. The record is from RNAcentral.